CCCCCAUUCCCCCCCUUAAACUGAAUGAUGCAGCUCUAGAACCAGAAGUCCUGGGGAGAGAGGAUUCUCAUGGGAGCCAAAGACAGACUUGCCUAAGGACCACCGCAGCAGAGCAACGGCCCUUUACAUCCUGCUGGGGAGAAGCCAGAUGGAGACAACUUUGAUAAAAGGGCUCCGCUUGCAAGAAGCACUUUGUGAAAAUUUGAGUGGCCAAGCAAAGUGAUUAGAAUGAGGAAUGCAAAUAAGUCAGUUUAUGAGAAUGCAUUAACUCUGCUGAAUAGGGAGAGAAGGGAAAAUGCCUCUCCUUGAAGAUGCAGUCUACCUGCCACCAGUUUUGGAAACGUUUGGUUUAAAACUGUUAACUUUGUAAAUAGGAAUUCUCUGUUUUAUCAAUCAGAGGCACCCGAACAAAAUAUUUUAAAAUAAUUAAUCUGGCAAAUUCAUCAAUGAAGCAUUGCAGGCCUAGCUGGUACUAAGGCAUCAUAUUCUGUAGGGUACUCUACAGAUGAGGCAGGAACAGAACCAAUCUGAGGAUGCACAGACCACAGACUUUGCUGUGUGCACACACUGAAGCUGCUCAAUGAGAAAGAAAAGGGGGAGACUGGCCAACAGCAAAUAAUCGGUUUGGG
This is a long non-coding RNA of Podarcis raffonei (Aeolian wall lizard), 629 nucleotides long. RefSeq lists it as uncharacterized. The record is from RefSeq and is a predicted model, not a curated record. The transcript is spliced from 3 exons. NCBI's taxonomy places the organism in Eukaryota, Metazoa, Chordata, Lepidosauria, Squamata, Lacertidae.